UACGGAGGGUGCAAGCGUUGUCCGGAAUCACUGGGCGUAAAGGGCGCGUAGGCGGCUCAUGAAGGCUGUGGUGAAAGUCCGGGGCUCAACCUCGGAUCGGCCGUGGCGACUCGUGGGCUGGAGCACUGUAGAGGCGGGUGGAAUUCCGGGUGUAGCGGUGGAAUGCGUAGAGAUCCGGAAGAACACCAGUGGCGAAGGCGGUCUGCUGGGCCAAGACUGACGCUGAGGCGCGACAGCGUGGGGAGCAAACAGG
This 253-nucleotide ribosomal RNA is filed under the name uncultured bacterium. Its description in RNAcentral is "partial 16S ribosomal RNA". It matches the Rfam family "Bacterial small subunit ribosomal RNA", at positions 524 to 776 of the family's 1533-position model. The record is from RNAcentral.